Molecule: ribosomal RNA, 789 nt
Filed under: uncultured archaeon
Lineage: Archaea
Description: bacterial SSU rRNA
Rfam family: Archaeal small subunit ribosomal RNA
Source: RNAcentral
ACUGCUCAGUAACACGUGGACAAUCUGCCCUGAAGUGGAGAAUAAUCCCGGGAAACUGGGGGUAAUACUCCAUAGUUCGUUAUUACUGGAAUGUUUUUCGAACGAAAGAUCCGUCGCUUCAGGAUGAGUCUGCGGCCGAUUAGGUAGUUGUUGGGGUAAUUGCCCAACAAGCCUGUAAUCGGUACGGGUUGUGGGAGCAAGAGCCCGGAGAUGGAUUCUGAGACACGAAUCCAGGCCCUACGGGGCGCAGCAGGCGCGAAAACUUUACCAUGCGGGCAACCGUGAUAAGGAAACCCCGAGUGCCAGCACAGGCUGGCUGUCCGCCAGUUUAAACAACUGGCGAAGAAAGGGCCGGGCAAGACCGGUGCCAGCCGCCGCGGUAAUACCGGCGGCUCGAGUGGUGGCCGCUAUUACUGGGCUUAAAGGGUCCGUAGCUUGAUAAUAGGGUCCCUUGAGAAAUCCGCCGGCUUAACUGGCGGGCGUUCAGGGGAAACUUGUUUUCUAGGGACCGGGAGAGGUGAGGGGUACUGCCGGGGUAGGAGUGAAAUCCUGUAAUCCCGGUGGGACCACCUAUGGCGAAGGCAUCUCACCAGAACGGGUCCGACAGUGAGGGACGAAAGCUGGGGGAGCAAACCGGAUUAGAUACCCGGGUGGUCCCAGCUGUAAACUAUGUGCGUUAGGUGUGUCAGUGACCACGUGUCACUGAGGUGCCGAAGGGAAACCGUGAAACGCACCGCCUGGGGAGUACGGUCGCAAGGCUGAAACUUAAAGGAAUUGGCGGGGGAGCAC